AACCCAUGGUGAGGGCACCUUCUAAAUAGGUCCUUGUAUCUCUUCCAUGCAUCAUAGAAGGCCUCUAGAUCUAUCUUCACAAAAGAAGAGAUAUCGUUCCUCAAUUU
RNAcentral lists this small nucleolar RNA (107 nucleotides) under Gossypium hirsutum (cotton). Its description in RNAcentral is "Plant small nucleolar RNA R71". It matches the Rfam family "Plant small nucleolar RNA R71". Rfam says of the family: R71 is a member of the C/D box family of snoRNAs containing the C (UGAUGA) and D (CUGA) box motifs. Multiple nearly identical copies of this snoRNA have been identified in Arabidopsis, and it is thought to function as a 2'-O-ribose methylation guide for 18S ribosomal RNA. Lineage: Eukaryota; Viridiplantae; Streptophyta; Magnoliopsida; Malvales; Malvaceae. The record is from Rfam by way of RNAcentral.